This 79-nucleotide non-coding RNA is filed under the name pig gut metagenome. Its description in RNAcentral is "TPP riboswitch (THI element)". It matches the Rfam family "TPP riboswitch aptamer (THI element)", at positions 7 to 92 of the family's 105-position model. From Rfam's summary of the family: Vitamin B(1) in its active form thiamin pyrophosphate (TPP) is an essential coenzyme that is synthesised by coupling of pyrimidine and thiazole moieties in bacteria. The record is from RNAcentral.
AUCAAAGGGGUGCCCGGGCUGUCCGGGCUGAGAUUAUACCCUCAAAACCUGAUGCAGACAAUACUGACGUAGGGAUUGA